Molecule: long non-coding RNA, 461 nt
Filed under: Homo sapiens (human)
Lineage: Eukaryota; Metazoa; Chordata; Mammalia; Primates; Hominidae
Description: HSALNT0319048
Source: RNAcentral
UAUGACCCAGGACAGCCACAGCCAGAGAACACUCACAUAAUAGCAUCAUAAGGCUCAAUGUCACAAUGAUCUGGGAAGGGCAACUAGCCAUAGGCACUGCUAUUUGGUUCAGAGAAGCACCAAUUAAUUCGACUGCUCUCUGAUCCACUUGAAGAACUCAGCUGGAAAUCAAACAAAGCCAACCUAAAAAAAAACGUCUAACACUAGAGUAUUCCUGUAUCCUGGAGAAGGCAGCACUCGAGCCACCAUCUUGGAAGUGAAGAUCAGGCCCUCAGCAGACACAAAACCUGCCAGUGCCAUGAUCUUGGAUUUUUCAACCUGCAGGACUAUUCAAUGAAAUUCCAAUGAAAAUCUCAAGUUAUUAUGUGAAUAUUGAAAAACGAACCCUAAAGUUUAUAUGGAGAGCCAAAAAAUGCAAAAGAGCCAGCACAUAUUGAAAGAGAAGAACAAAGUCAGAAGAU